RNAcentral lists this long non-coding RNA (829 nucleotides) under Medicago truncatula (barrel medic). RNAcentral describes it as "long non-coding RNA (MTRU_LNC007501)". The record is from RNAcentral. Lineage: Eukaryota; Viridiplantae; Streptophyta; Magnoliopsida; Fabales; Fabaceae.
UUCAAACUACCUUUGUUGGAACGAUGUUGUUCUGGAUCGGAACUUGUUGGUUUGAUUCGAUCUGGAUCCGUCGGCUAUACCUUUGGUUCGGAUUCGGUGCGGUUGAGUCAGAUUCGGCGUUGUUGUAUUGAAGGGUUAGGUUUCGCGUUCUUGUGAAACGGCUUGUAUGGAGGGGUUUGGAAAAUUGUGGAUCGUGAAUCGUGAUGUUGUGAGGGUCGUAGGGAAUUUUGAGGGUUUCUUUGUAUUGAGACUUUUUCUUGUGCAGGUUUGGAUUGAGGUUUGCGGCUAGGGUUUGAUGCUGGUUCCUCCCUUGUUUGUGUGAAAUCCGCCUCUUUUUAAAGAAUCAGAGGUUGAUGAAAGAAGAAAUAGUUUAAUGAGUUUUGAAUUGGAAUUGAAUGGUGAAUUGAAUGGCUUGAAUGAGCAUAAUGGUGUGGUACGCGUUUGGUGUUGAGAAAGGAAAGAAGAAGUUCUGACUUUGAGCUUGAAGCCUGAAAUUGAGGCUCGGAUGGAACAACUUUGGACCCCAUGGACAUAUUUUUGGACAUAUUAAAAAAAAGGUUAUACAAAAAACUAGUAGAAGUAAUUUGAACUAAAAAAUGGAAAAUAAAAUAAAAAAAAGAUAAAAUAAAAUCGAGGCUAAAUAAAAUAUAAAAAGAUGGAAACUAAGAAAAAUAAAAAGACUAACAAUAAAUAAAGUGAGAAGAUGGCCGGAAUUGGUACAAAGAUGAGGUAUUUUAAAAUACCUCUCUGUCGAAUUUUUCUUGAAAUGUUAAAGUCCGACCAGGGUCAAGUGACACGUGUCAGUGGGGCCUUAGGUCAAAAAUUGGGG